RNAcentral lists this ribosomal RNA (429 nucleotides) under Chloroflexota bacterium. RNAcentral describes it as "Chloroflexi bacterium partial 16S ribosomal RNA". It matches the Rfam family "Bacterial small subunit ribosomal RNA", at positions 355 to 776 of the family's 1533-position model. Lineage: Bacteria; Bacillati; Chloroflexota. The record is from RNAcentral.
UAGGGAAUCUUCGGCAAUGGACGAAAGUCUGACCGAGCAACGCCGCGUGAGUGAAGAAGGUUUUCGGAUCGUAAAACUCUGUUGUUAGAGAAGAACAAGGACGUUAGUAACUGAACGUCCCCUGACGGUAUCUAACCAGAAAGCCACGGCUAACUACGUGCCAGCAGCCGCGGUAAUACGUAGGUGGCAAGCGUUGUCCGGAUUUAUUGGGCGUAAAGCGAGCGCAGGCGGUUUCUUAAGUCUGAUGUGAAAGCCCCCGGCUCAACCGGGGAGGGUCAUUGGAAACUGGGAGACUUGAGUGCAGAAGAGGAGAGUGGAAUUCCAUGUGUAGCGAUGAAAUGCGUAGAUAUAUGGAGGGACACCAGUGGCGAAGGCGGCUCUCUGGUCUGUAACUGACGCUGAGGCUCGAAAGCGUGGGGAGCAAACAGG